Molecule: ribosomal RNA, 428 nt
Filed under: Bacteroidota bacterium
Lineage: Bacteria; Pseudomonadati; Bacteroidota
Description: Bacteroidetes bacterium partial 16S ribosomal RNA
Rfam family: Bacterial small subunit ribosomal RNA
Source: RNAcentral
UAGGGAAUCUUCCGCAAUGGACGCAAGUCUGACGGAGCAACGCCGCGUGAGUGAAGAAGGAUUUCGGUUCGUAAAACUCUGUUGUUAGAGAAGAACAGCGCAUAGAGUAACUGUUAUGCGUGUGACGGUAUCUAACCAGAAAGCCACGGCUAACUACGUGCCAGCAGCCGCGGUAAUACGUAGGUGGCAAGCGUUGUCCGGAUUUAUUGGGCGUAAAGCGAGCGCAGGCGGUUAGAAGAGUCUGAAGUGAAAGGCAGUGGCUCAACCAUUGUAGGCUUUGGAAACUGUUUAACUUGAGUGCAGAAGCGGAGAGUGGAAUUCCAUGUGUAGCGGUGAAAUGCGUAGAUAUAUGGAGCAACACCGGUGGCGAAAGCGGCUCUCUGGUCUGUAACUGACGCUGAGGCUCGAAAGCGUGGGGAGCGAACAGG